RNAcentral lists this long non-coding RNA (1505 nucleotides) under Equus caballus (horse). Its description in RNAcentral is "lncRNA (ENSECAG00000052203.1)". The record is from RNAcentral. Lineage: Eukaryota; Metazoa; Chordata; Mammalia; Perissodactyla; Equidae.
GAUGCCUCGGGCAGCUUUUCAGGUGGCCCACAUCCUUCCAUAGUAACCGUGUUGUGGAUCACAGGCUCACUCACCUUUCUGCUACCUUCCCUGAGCCCUUCUGCACUCAUGCCUGGGAAGAAGAAGAAUUGGAAGUCCCAGCAGAAGCUAGAAUGAUGCAUGCUCAGGUCUCUACCAACCAGAUAUGAAGCUAACAACAUAACAUAGUCAGGCCUUGGUGAUUGAAGGAUUCAGCAAGAUGCCCUGAAGCACCCAGCCAAGAGGCUAGGUCCACUCUCAUAUGUAGAACCUGAUCUUGCAGGUGCUAAACCAUAUCUCCCUGUUCCCCAGACCUUUCAGGAGGUCAAGCCUUCAUCUCAAAAGGAAAGGAUGCCAGCUUUACACUUUGCAGGGUGGGAAAUGAGUGGCUUAGCUUUUCCUCUAGGGUAAAGAGGCCCUGGGACUUGGUGAUCAUCUUGAAUCUGGCAGCCUGCCUUCCCUGUUCCCUUAACCACACACACCACCCCGUCAGCACCUGGAAAGGAGCAUCUGCCCACGCCCACUCAGUCACAAAUUCUAGACUGUCUCACUUUCCGCACAUCUGGCUCCGUUCUUGGGCAUAUUUGACUCCUAUCCUCUCAGUGUUGUCUUCCUUUUCCCACCCGUUUCUAGAUCUGCGGAACUUUAUUCACGUUUGUUUAUUCAUUUAUUAUCUAUUCCUGCCACUAAUAUUGGGUGCCACCAUGUGCAGGCAUUGUGCUGAUGCUGGGGAUAUAUGUGAUGGAGAGCAAGAUAAAGGAGAUUCCUGUGUGCUUGGGACUGAAAGUUUAGCAUUGAAGAAGACAGUCGAGAAAUAAUCCCCUAAGCACUUACAUCCUUAUCAUGUGCUCUAAAAUAAAAACUAACAAGAUCAAAGGUUUGGAUUUGCAACAGCUGUAAACUGUCCAGUGGGACAGAGGGAAAUAGAAUACCUUUUCACAAAGAGCUUCACGACCUGAGGCAUCAAGAGGAAACUGGCCUCCGAGACUGUUGUACACAGUUGCUGAGACCUUUGGCUUCCAAGGAUCAUCUGGCCAACACCCACCUAACCUUGAUCAGUGGGCACCAGGGCAACUGGUCUGGAAGAGGUUUGGCUCUGGCUCAGUCCAUCCUGCCUGCCAGAAAGCUGGCCCUGGAAGCUGAUUCUCACUAUGGGGACAGAGAAGCCCAAACACGUGGCAGUGUUUGAAACAGAAGAAGGGGCUACUAAUGGAGACUUUAAAAGAUCCUAAGCGUUUAUUUGUUUGAAUUAAAUAUGGACCAAGGAGAUGGGGACAAGGCCUUGCCAGCCUACUUAAUUAUGCACGCUGGUCUUCCAUGUGGCAGGCUGGCUCAGAGAAAGGGAACAGCUUAGACACAUGUAGAGACAUUCUGGGGUACCAAAUCAUCAGAGUGAGACUUUCUGAAUCCUUACCCAUUUUCAUCUUAUUUCCCCAAUCAUCAGAUGUGUGGAUGCUGAAUAAAGGCAAGGCUCUAGUGCUGGGGAG